GGUUAAGCGACUAAGCGUACACGGUGGAUGCCUAGGCAAUCAGAGGCGAUGAAGGACGUGCUAAUCUGCGAUAAGCGUCGGUAAGGUGAUAUGAACCGUUAUACCCGACG
Molecule: ribosomal RNA, 110 nt
Filed under: Providencia rettgeri
Lineage: Bacteria; Pseudomonadati; Pseudomonadota; Gammaproteobacteria; Enterobacterales; Morganellaceae
Also listed under: 2 other names
Description: partial 23S ribosomal RNA
Rfam family: Bacterial large subunit ribosomal RNA
Source: RNAcentral